CUUGAGUUCGUAGUUGUGAUACUACCGGCUUGAGAAGCUUGGUGAAGCACCACGGUGCAGAGCUGAGGCCGAAGGGGAGGCAUGUGAACUGCCAGGGUUGGUCUUGCCAUAGGAAUCUGAGAAAUUGGCGCAAGACGCAUGGACGGGGACCGACAGGUAAGCGUCUUUGAGGUCCAGUCUCGUAAACCAGUCCCUGUUUUGGAGUAGAUCGCUCAGCAGGUGAAUGCCUUCCAUCUUGAAGUGCCUGUACGUUACAAAAGCGUUGAGUCCCUUCAAGUUUAUAACCGGACGGAAUUCUCCUGAUUUCUUUUUU
This is a non-coding RNA of Pelobates cultripes (western spadefoot toad), 313 nucleotides long. NCBI's taxonomy places the organism in Eukaryota, Metazoa, Chordata, Amphibia, Anura, Pelobatidae. The record is from the annotation of a GenBank genome assembly.